Molecule: long non-coding RNA, 235 nt
Filed under: Cucumis sativus (cucumber)
Lineage: Eukaryota; Viridiplantae; Streptophyta; Magnoliopsida; Cucurbitales; Cucurbitaceae
Description: long non-coding RNA (CSAT_LNC001561)
Source: RNAcentral
GAAGCUCUGAAGAAUUGAAGAUUCAAACUUCUACAAACUCUAAAGACGUGCAAGUUCGUAUCAACCUCGAGAUCAACAACUUCUGAAAGAUUGAAGACUUUGAAGAUUAAACUUUCUUUGAAUUUCAGAAGAUCGAAGUUCAAAUUGACUUGCAACAACAACAUCAAAUGAGUAAAUACUAGAGAUUGUAUUCGCAAUAUUCAAUAUUUAUCAAUAUAACAAAGUUCAAUUCCAC